ACAUCACAGGGACCGUCAGUCUACCAAGCAAUAUCACCCGCUCAGUAGAAGAUCUUCCCUUUGUCGU
RNAcentral lists this microRNA precursor (67 nucleotides) under Bombyx mori (domestic silkworm). RNAcentral's name for it is "mir-2774 microRNA precursor family". It matches the Rfam family "mir-2774 microRNA precursor family". The record is from Rfam by way of RNAcentral. Lineage: Eukaryota; Metazoa; Arthropoda; Insecta; Lepidoptera; Bombycidae.